This is a long non-coding RNA of Siniperca chuatsi (mandarin fish), 437 nucleotides long. RefSeq lists it as uncharacterized. Lineage: Eukaryota; Metazoa; Chordata; Actinopteri; Centrarchiformes; Sinipercidae. The transcript is spliced from 2 exons. The record is from RefSeq and is a predicted model, not a curated record.
UUUCCCUCUUAUUUCAAGUCUGCAUAGAAGAGGAGCGAAGCGAGAGAGGACGGACCAUCUCCGGCUGCGUGGGAAUGUCGCUGUAGUCGAGAAAAGUACAUGUCUUUUAGCUUUUACGAUAUAUUUAGUCUUUUCUUUAAUGUCCUCGUUUUCGACUUUCUCUCGCAUUUUGACCACCUACUGCCUUGCUAGUGCUGGUGCCUCCACUUCAGCCGAGGAAAAAGCCCCGCUCUCAACGCUGUUAGGCGGUGUUAACAGGUAAUGCACACCGCUAGUGUUGCGGUUUGCUACCUUGUUAUGUUUGAAGCUGCAACUUAAUUGAAUGCUUUUAGACAGAAAAUGGCUCGUGGUUGUUGCAUUUUUGAGAUGAAGCCGUUUGAGAACUGUAUCAUGUUUCAUCCAAUAAAAUACUGAAUGGUCGUGGGGGGGGAAAAGCA